AAUAGAUACCCCGGUAGUCCACGCCGUAAACGAUGAGUGCUAGGUGUUAGGGGGUCCAACCCUUAGUGCCGAAGUUAACACAUUAAGCACUCCGCCUGGGGAGUACGGUCGCAAGACUGAAACUCAAAGGAAUUGACGGGGGCCCGCACAAGCGGUGGAGCAUGUGGUUUAAUUCGAAGCAACGCGAAGAACCUUACCAGGGCUUGACAUCCCUCUGACCGUUCUAGAGAUAGAGCUUCCCUUCGGGGCAGAGGUGACAGGUGGUGCAUGGUUGUCGUCAGCUCGUGUCGUGAGAUGUUGGGUUAAGUCCCGCAACGAGCGCAACCCUUGUCCUUAGUUGCCAGCAUUCAGUUGGGCACUCUAGGGAGACUGCCGGCGACAAACCGGAGGAAGGUGGGGAUGACGUCAAAUCAUCAUGCCCCUUAUGUCCUGGGCUACACACGUGCUACAAUGGCUGGUACAAAGGGUAGCGAAGCAGUGAUGUGAAGCCAAUCCCAAAAAGCCAGUCACAGUUCGGAUUGUAGG
RNAcentral lists this ribosomal RNA (525 nucleotides) under uncultured bacterium. Its description in RNAcentral is "bacterial SSU rRNA". It matches the Rfam family "Bacterial small subunit ribosomal RNA", at positions 777 to 1304 of the family's 1533-position model. The record is from RNAcentral.